CAAUAGCGUAUAUUAAUGUUGUUGCAGUUAAAAAGCUCGUAGUUGGAUUUGUGGUGUGUCCUGUCGGUCCGUGGGCUCAGCCUGCGUGUCUGUACGGGUCUGCCUUUCAUGGGAUUGUUGGCUUUGUGGCAUUAGGUUGUCGCAUUGUUGAUGCCCAUCUUUUACUGUGAAAAAAUUAGAGUGUUCAAAGCAGGCUUAUGCCGUUGAAUAUAUUAGCAUGGAAUAAUGAUAUAGGACCUUGGUACUAUUUUGUUGGUUUGCGCACUGAGGUAAUGAUUAAUAGGGACAGUUGGGGGUAUUCGUAUUCCAUUGUCAGAGGUGAAAUUCUUGGAUUUUUGGAAGACGAACUACUGCGAAAGCAUUUACCAAGGAUGUUUUCAUUAA
RNAcentral lists this ribosomal RNA (384 nucleotides) under uncultured eukaryote. Its description in RNAcentral is "partial 18S ribosomal RNA". It matches the Rfam family "Eukaryotic small subunit ribosomal RNA", at positions 592 to 976 of the family's 1831-position model. The record is from RNAcentral.